Molecule: ribosomal RNA, 461 nt
Filed under: uncultured bacterium
Lineage: Bacteria
Description: bacterial SSU rRNA
Rfam family: Bacterial small subunit ribosomal RNA
Source: RNAcentral
CCUACGGGAGGCUGCAGUCGAGAAUCUUCGGCAAUGAGCGCAAGCUUGACCGAGCGACGCCGCGUGCGGGAUGAAGGCCUUCGGGUUGUAAACCGCUGUCGUAGGGGAGCAAGAGAUGAGGGUACUCCCUCAAAUUUGAGCGAUCCUAGGAGGAAGGACGGGCUAAGUUCGUGCCAGCAGCCGCGGUAAGACGAACCGUCCAAACGUUAUUCGGUAUCACUGGGCUUAAAGAGUUCGUAGGCGGCUCCGUAGGUGAGGUGUGAAAUCCCUCGGCUCAACCGAGGAAUUGCGCUUCAAACCGUGGAGCUAGAGGGAGACAGGGGUAAGCGGAACAGAUGGUGGAGCGGUGAAAUGCGUUGAUAUCAUCUGGAACACCGGUGGCGAAGGCGGCUUACUGGGUCUUUUCUGACGCUGAGGAACGAAAGCUAGGGUAGCGAACGGGCUUAGAUACCCGUGUAGUC